RNAcentral lists this ribosomal RNA (1594 nucleotides) under Pipistrellus paterculus (Mount Popa pipistrelle). Its description in RNAcentral is "partial 16S ribosomal RNA". It matches the Rfam family "Bacterial large subunit ribosomal RNA", at positions 382 to 2925 of the family's 2925-position model. Lineage: Eukaryota; Metazoa; Chordata; Mammalia; Chiroptera; Vespertilionidae. The record is from RNAcentral.
AACUAGACAUAGCUCAAUAUUUAUACCCAACAAAACUAUUACAAGACUUAAAAUAAAACAUUCACCAAACAUUAAAGUAUAGGCGAUAGAAAUUCUAUUCGACGCUAUAGAAAAAGUACCGCAAGGGAAAGCUGAAAGAAACCUAUAAGUAGUAAACAGCAAAGAUUAAUUCUUAUACCUUUUGCAUAAUGAUUCAGCUAGUAAAUAUUAGCAAAAAGAAUUAAAGUUAAUUCUCCCGAAACCAGACGAGCUACCUGCCAGCAGCUAAUAGAGCAAACUCAUCUAUGUAGCAAAAUAGUGAGAAGACUGUCAGGUAGUGGCGACAAACCUAUCGAGCCUGGUGAUAGCUGGUUAUCCAGAAUAGAACUUCAGUUCUAACUUUUAUCUACCAAACAGACAAGCAAACUAAAAUGUAGAUUUAAGUAAUAAUCUAAAAAGGUACAUCUUUUUAGAUAAGGGAUACAACCCCUAUUAGAGAGUAAAUUACAAUUAAUCACAAUAGUUGGCCUAAAAGCAGCCAUCAAUUAAGAAAGCGUUCAAGCUCAACAAUAUUAAUACUUAAUUCCGUGAUAAAAUUAUAACUCCUAACACAAAACUGGAUUAAUCUAUUUAUAAAUAGAAGCAAUACUGCUGAUAUGAGUAACAAGAAACGUUUCUCCACGCACACGUGUAUAUCAGAACGGAUAACCCACUGAUAAUUAUCAAAAUAAAUAUUAACAAUUACUAAUCUCUUAAUAAUAACUGUUAGCCCAACACAGGAGUGCAAACAAGGAAAGAUUAAAAGAAAUAAAAGGAACUCGGCAAACACAAACCCCGCCUGUUUACCAAAAACAUCACCUCUAGCAUAAAAAGUAUUAGAGGCACUGCCUGCCCGGUGACUUCAGUUUAACGGCCGCGGUAUCCUGACCGUGCAAAGGUAGCAUAAUCACUUGUUCUCUAAAUAGGGACUUGUAUGAAUGGCCCCACGAGGGUUUUGCUGUCUCUUAUUUCAAAUCAGUGAAAUUGACAUUCCCGUGAAGAGGCGGGAAUAAAAAAAUAAGACGAGAAGACCCUAUGGAGCUUUAAUUUACUAGACCACAUUAUUUCCUUAACUCCUCACGAGGAAUAAACCUAUUAUGAAUGAGCUAGCAAUUUAGGUUGGGGUGACCUCGGAGUAAAACAUAACCUCCGAGAAAUCUACUUAAGACUUACAAGUCAAAACUAUAUAAAUAUACAAUGACCCGCCAAUGGCGAUCAACGAAACAAGUUACCCUAGGGAUAACAGCGCAAUCCUAUUCAAGAGUCCAUAUCGACAAUUAGGGUUUACGACCUCGAUGUUGGAUCAGGACAUCCCAAUGGUGUAGCAGCUAUUAAUGUGUUCGUUUGUUCAACGAUUAAAGUCCUACGUGAUCUGAGUUCAGACCGGAGUAAUCCAGGUCGGUUUCUAUCUAUUCAUAAGUUCCUCCCAGUACGAAAGGAUAAGAGAAACAGGGCCCACUUAAAAUAAGCGCCCCAAGAAAAUAGAUGAAAUAAUCUUAAUCCCACUAUCAUAUAUUAAUUAUUCUAGAAUAAGAAUAUUAAAUCAAAUUAAAGUGGCAGAGUUCGGAAAUUUGCA